This is a long non-coding RNA of Suricata suricatta (meerkat), 955 nucleotides long. RefSeq lists it as uncharacterized. Lineage: Eukaryota; Metazoa; Chordata; Mammalia; Carnivora; Herpestidae. The record is from RefSeq and is a predicted model, not a curated record. The transcript is spliced from 6 exons.
CCUCAACCAACCGAGUCACCCAGGUGCCCCUAUAUAGUUGUCUUUCAAACCAGGGAAGUCGGUGUAUAUACAAGUGACUUCCACGUCUGUGAUCUUCAACUGUUUUGUCCCAAAAAGGACUUUGAAAAAUAUGUACCCUUUACACCUUGACUACUAAAAUGGGUGCCAAGACCAUUUAAUGGGAAAAGAAAAGUCUCUACAACAAAUCGUGCUGGGACAACUGGACAUCUGCAUGUAAAAGAAUGAAGUUGCACCCCUACUUCGCCCCACAUACAGAAGCCAGCUCAACAUGGGUUAUCCAGCAGCCUGGAACUCAUUGACAAGUCCUUGAAACCAGCAGAGUGACUUCCCACCAGGAGCUCAGCUGCGUCGAUGAUGAACACUUUGCUGGGCGCAAACGAGAACCUUAGCUUGACAUUGUCCCAACCUCAAGGAUCAUGAGGUACAAUACCAGCCUUAACCUGGAACACCUUUGUAUGACCUCCCCCCUGGAGUUAAUGAACUCAGCCUCUGGGAAAACGCCUUGGUUCCGAGGAGCGAAUCUAGUGAAUGGCAGACAGCAAGUCCUGCGGGUGAACACGCAAGGGUCUCUCCUUUCAUCUGCGACUCACUGUAGAUGGCAGGCAGAACUGUCCGGGCAGAGGGAGACCAGGGUGGCUGCCUGUUCCAGUAGAGACUGGGGCCCAGUGCCUUUGUCUAAGGCUCUGCUGAUGCCCCUUGUACCCUUCUAUCAUGAGGGUGAGAGGUCAUGGGCAAGACACCUCCUACACAAGGGGAGGAGGGAAGGCCUGAGUGUGGGCUGUGUGUCCACAGCUUCUCCCUGCCCACAUUCAACUCCCAUCCCAGCUUUGGAGUCUCUCAGUCAUCCAGUUUAAACCCCCUUAGGUGAAACAGGGAGACGCCUCCCUGCUUCCUGGCACAUAAUAGCUGCUUAAUAACUGUUGGUGGCAUUGAA